CCGAGGCAGAACGUGCUCACUUAACCACUGCACCAGCGGGCCGGCCCCUCAGCCUGGUCUUUAUGUCACGCCCUGGAGACCCCAGGACAAGACCCAUGCGCUGUGGGGGAGGGGCAAGCGUGGAAAUGGCAGUAAGAGAGAAAUCCUGCUGUCCAUACUCCGCUGGUGUUCACAUCAUCGUGUUAUUGUGAAGGCUUUCCCUCGGCUUAUAUCAUAUUCAUGAAUAUUUCAGGAUCUUAGUCUAAGAAAUCUUCCUCUUCUGAGCUCCCAUAGCGUGUUGAAAUUUGAAACUUUCACCUUGCAAGUGAAUAAGCACUUUACAGAAACUAUCUCAUCUAAUUCACAGAAUAACCCUAUGAGCUUGGUCCUCUCCACUUUACAGAUAAGGGCACUGAGGCACAGAAAGCUGAAGCAACUAGCUUAAAGUCACCGAGCUUGUGAGUGGCAGAGCUGGGACUCAAGCCAGGGAAGCAUGAGACGAGUCAACGCCCUCAGCCCCUGUGCUGUGCUGCCUCUCAGGUCACUUCUCAGAAGACGUUGGCUUCUUGGUCACCCCAGCCAGACCAGAGCUUCCCCUAGAACAAGACUCAUGCCUGAGGUAUCUCCCUGUACCGGCGCCUGACCCAGUGCUUGGCUUUAAGAGUGCCCAUUGUCUAUGAGCUGAAUGACUGAAUAUGCAAGAACGUGAGCUGACUUCGGGCACCGUGGCAGAUUCAUGGAGCAGGUUGGAGUUGAGAUGAAUGUGAUUUCAACAGGUGGUUAUGACAAAGAAGAGAAAGAAUUCUGGAUGGAGGAAACCGCAUGAGCAAAGAUGCUGGUGUGGGUGUGUGAUGCCUGGAGCAGCCAUCUUGCAACAAGGUACAAGUGCAAGGACAAGAAGACAACUUGCUGAGGCUGUCCUCUUCCCCAAAUGGUAUUAAAUUUCCAAGAAGACUCAACUCUCUUAACCAGAGGACUCCUUACAUUGGCAACUAUCAUCUCCCUGGAGGACGCCAUGGCCCGGACCCGGUAAAGAAAGGAAAGAGACCCACCAUUUCUAGAGCACCACUAAAUGCCAGGCAUCGUCCACAUGGUAUCUCAGUUAACCCUCACAGUGAACCUGAGCAGUAGCAUGCAUAGCCCCAUUUUGCAGAUGAGGAAACCAAGUCCCAGAGAGGUAAUGUGACUUGCACUGGGUCACUCAGGUAUCUGGUAUGAAGAGGAGCUGGGAUUGAAACCUAUGGCCAUUUGGACCCCACAGUCCAUGCUUGUCAAUUUUCAUAGCCCUGAGCUGCGCUGUCUAAUACAGUAGCCACUAGCCACGUGUGGCCAUUUAAACUUAAAUUAAUUCAAGUUGAAUAAAUAAAAUUUAGUUCCUCAGUAACACUAGCUACAUACAAGUGCUCAAUAGCCACAUGUGGCUGGUGGUUACUGUCUUAGACAUCACAGAUAUAGAACAUUUCUACCAUCGUGGAAAGAUCUGUUGGAUAGCACAGUUCUGGAAUGUCGGAGAAGAAAGGAAAUUUGGUGAUUUUACCCUUGCAUGGGGAGCCAGGCCAUCUACCAUUGGUCAGCCCUGUGGGGAGUCCAUCAGAAGUUACUUUCCCUGGAUGAGAUCAUGAUUCAACCAUCCGUGGGUUUCAGGGCUGUGUCUUACCUUUCUCCUGGUUUGGGGGGAGACUGUAAGCUGGCUCCACUUAGUCCCACCCACAAUAGGUGCCAGCUGAUCCCUUCCUUCACUUCCCUUUUGCCCCUAAACCCCUAGGAAUCCAUUGCCACCCUCUGUCACAGGGGAUUCAGUAUGUCCCUGGCCAUUAAAAUGGGAUAUCCUCAUGCGAUAAGUCAGAUGGGGACUGAGCAAAAUUUCAUGACACAGUGGGCUUCAUUCUAGCUGGGUGGUCACUGGGUGACAUGCUUGAUGCUUGAGAGAGGUGUCCUUAUUGAGUGACAACAAGGGGGAAGACUGGAGGAGCUCCUUGGCAAAGGGGAUGUCUGGUUAUAAUGGGAGAUUUUUCUCCUGCCUUGCAACAGAAUACCUUUCCUAUGUUUGGGGAAUUCUCAAUUUUGUAAAUGAAGGCAGUCUUCCUCCCAAGAAAGAAGCCAAAAUGUCAGAUGUUUGCCUUCAGAGCUUCCACUGCAGGUAGGAGAUAGGCAUGUGUUCAAGGCUCAACCAAUCAGAGCUUGGGUUACAAAGAAACUGGGACUGUGGGGGAUCCUCAUGGGAGGAUGGGUGAGAGUUGUGUUGAGAUGGUGCCUGUGGCUGGCUGGCCAUAGUGAAAGCUGGGCAUCCAGUAUCCUCACCAGUAGUACAUGGUCCCACAUGAUCUGGCCUCCCUCAUUCCUGGCCACUUCUAGAAACUUCCUGGUGACUUUUUAAACUUCCCAUUACCCUUUUAAUAAAUUCCGUUUGUGCUACCAUCAGUCAGAGUCAGUUCUAUAACUUAUGAUGAACUGACACAAUGGUGCUACGACAGAUGGAAUAGAAUUAGACUAGAUUGUUCUAGACUGGAGUUUGCUCUGGUGGAAGCUGAGGGAGGGUCUCUGCUGUGAUCCACAUGAUCUCUCCACAUCAGGAUCCCUUGUUCCAGCCUCACUGGCCUCUUUGCCCUUGCUGUGUUCUCACCAUCUCUUCCCUCCCAGAGAAUCUCCGCAGUCAGGAUGUUGAAAGCCUGCUCUGACUUGUCAAGGCUUCUUCCAUUCCCUGAGUCUCCUCUCCAGGAUUUUGGGGCUCAGAAAGUCCUUUCCCUGUUUUUCUGCUGAAACAGCUCCUCCCUGAGCAGUAAAUACAUCACAGUCCAAGUUGGAUAGAAAAGGGGUUACAGAGUGAAAAGGAAAUGGAAACAUACUGGUAGUACAUCAAAAAAUUAUCCCACCAUACCAGGGUGACCAACCAUCCCAGUUUGUCCAGACUGAGGGAUUUCUUGGGACAUGGGAAUUUUGGUGCUAAAACAGGGAAAGUCCUGUGCAAACAAGGAUGAGUUGGUCACCCUACACUUUGGUAUGACUACUACUAAUUCUCUUUCUCUACACAGCUUUAUACAGCUUGCUAAGGACACAGUCAAGACCAGACCCUCAGCAACAGUGCCUUAUCAGAGCUUUCUUUCCUUUCUGAUAAGUGAAAAAAUCUCAAUGUUGUUUUUUCAUUUAUUUUAAUACAAGUGAGCAGAAGCAUCUUUUCAUAUGUUUAGAAGCCAUGUUUUCUAUUCCUUUCCUUGGAACUAUCUGCUCAUACCCUUUUACCUGCCUGUUUUGUUUUUGUUUUCUUAAACUAUAAAGCAAUAAAGAUAUCCAAUUAAACAUGA
Equus caballus (horse) is the source of this 3281-nucleotide long non-coding RNA. RefSeq lists it as uncharacterized. The record is from RefSeq and is a predicted model, not a curated record. Lineage: Eukaryota; Metazoa; Chordata; Mammalia; Perissodactyla; Equidae.